AAUGUCAAUUCAAAUCCCGGUGGAGAAAGGGUGGUUGAAUAUCAGCUUACAACCUCGUCCGGAAAACCUAAGGGCAAAAUCAAGUUUUCGUAUAAAUUUGGGGAGAAAUUCACGCAACAAGUGGAGACAAAAAAGCAUGUGGAUGAGCCUAUGACUGCGUAUCCAGCGCCACCACCACAUGUUGCCGGAGGAAGCAUGCCGCCUCAUCAGGGAACGGGAUACGGUGCUCCCCCUCCUGGGAUGGCAUAUCAACAAUAUCCUCCUCAUCCGGGGUAUGGCUAUCCACCACCAGGUGGGUACCCGCCUCCUGGAUACGGUUAU
RNAcentral lists this long non-coding RNA (321 nucleotides) under Olea europaea (common olive). RNAcentral's name for it is "long non-coding RNA (OEUR_LNC013327)". The record is from RNAcentral. Lineage: Eukaryota; Viridiplantae; Streptophyta; Magnoliopsida; Lamiales; Oleaceae.